RNAcentral lists this ribosomal RNA (588 nucleotides) under Triticum aestivum (bread wheat). RNAcentral's name for it is "partial small subunit ribosomal RNA". Lineage: Eukaryota; Viridiplantae; Streptophyta; Magnoliopsida; Poales; Poaceae. The record is from RNAcentral.
GCACGACGAGCAUCAGUGGCUCAAUCGCCCCCGGGCUUCGUCCCCAUUGUCACCUCUCCCCCUCCACCGCGGUGGCCAUUCCAUCCUUCACUACCGCCGCCGCCGUCCAAUGCUAGGCCAUCGUCUACCCAAGGCAGGAUACUGGCCGGCCUCCUCAUCGGCGUCGUGGCGUGCUUGAUCGUGUUCACCGCCGUGUGCACCCUCUGCAGGGAGUACCGCGACCGCCGCGCUCGAGCCGCGGCCGCCGCUUGGCGGUGGCCCGUGCCGGAACGCAAUGGCGUGCGCGUCGUUGGCGAGCGGCAGCUUGGCCGGGCCUACGCCGCCAGCCCCACGGCCGGCCUCCCGGCGUUCACGUACAGCCCGUCCGUGAAGCGCAACAUGACGGGCGGCGGGGAGGAGGAGGCGGCGACGUGCUCGGUGUGCCUCGGCGCGCUGCAGCUCGGCGAGACGGUGCGGCUGCUGCCGGCGUGCCUGCACAUGUACCACGCGGAGUGCAUCGACCCCUGGCUGGACGCGCACUCGACGUGCCCGGUCUGCCGCUCCGACACCGGCCCGGCCGCGGGCGUCGGCCGGCCACCGUCUGUUUAG